UCAAUGUAUGUAAGAAGAGGAUGAGCAUUAUAAAUGAUAAAGUGAUAAGAACAUAUUCUAUUUCAUACGUCCCAAGAGAAAAAUAUGGUUGAAAAUGUGAAGUAUGAUUGUGUUAUAAUUAUCUUUAUUUUUCUAUUUCUUGUUGUAAUGAACGUUGAAGGUCGUGUUAAAUGUAAAGAAGGCUAUGGUUGCCAAAACAAGUUGUGUGAGUUUCCUUUGAAACCAUACAUUACAAUAGAUCGUGUUAACUGUAAAAAUGCCAAUGGUUGCCCAAAUGAGUUGUGUGAGUAUCCUUUCGAACCAAAGUGUUUAAAACCAAAAUUUUUAUUCUUUUCCAAAAAAGAGGGCUUUUGUGCAUGUAUAUGAGCAAUGUUCCCAUAAAAUUCUGCUACAAAAUUCCAUGAUUGAUAAUUUAGUUAUUGCCUUGGCACCCGAUAAUUUGAAUUUUUUUUCUUUUAAUAUUUCCACAUACCUUGUAAUUAUAGAUGUGUACACUAAGAUGAUCAUAAUCAAAUGAAAUAAGGCAAAAAAUAAAAUUAUUUAAA
Medicago truncatula (barrel medic) is the source of this 545-nucleotide long non-coding RNA. RefSeq lists it as uncharacterized. The record is from RefSeq and is a predicted model, not a curated record. Lineage: Eukaryota; Viridiplantae; Streptophyta; Magnoliopsida; Fabales; Fabaceae. The transcript has 2 exons.